This 266-nucleotide long non-coding RNA is filed under the name Setaria italica (foxtail millet). RNAcentral's name for it is "long non-coding RNA (SITA_LNC006525)". Lineage: Eukaryota; Viridiplantae; Streptophyta; Magnoliopsida; Poales; Poaceae. The record is from RNAcentral.
CAGAUUGAACAGCAUAGAUAUCUUUACGUCAAACAAAUAAAAACAACAUAGCUAUCAAAAGGCGACCACCAUCACACAGUGCUGAUCGUGGCAGCGUCACUACAAGAAAUGCUACCCAAGGCUGAUGCCAGUAAGGCCCAAGCAGAUACAUGCCGCGCUGAUGAACAUGGAGACUCAGCGUUGCUUAGCAGACGCGCUAGACUCAGCGCUCUUUUUUCUCUUCUUCAGUAUCUCAACUUUGUCUUGUUUCCUUUCCUUGCCAAUCU